CCUACGGGUGGCAGCAGUGAGGAAUAUUGGUCAAUGGACGAGAGUCUGAACCAGCCAAGUAGCGUGAAGGAUGACUGCCCUAUGGGUUGUAAACUUCUUUUAUAUGGGAAUAAAAUGUUCCACGUGUGGGAUUUUGUAUGUACCAUAUGAAUAAGGAUCGGCUAACGCCGUGCCAGCAGCCGCGGUAAUAAGGAGGAUCCGAGCGUUAUCCGGAUUUAUUGGGUUUAAAGGGAGCGUAGGUGGGUUGUUAAGGUAGGUGGGAAAGUUUGCGGCUCAACCGUAAAAUUGCAGUUGAAACUGGCAGUCUUGAGUACAGUAGAGGUGGGCGGAAUUCGUGGUGUAGCGGUGAAAUGCUUAGAUAUCACGAAGAACUCCGAUUGCGAAGGCAGCUCACUGGACUGCAACUGACACUGAGGCUCGAAAGUGUGGGUAUCAAACAGGAUUAGAUACCCCUGUAGUC
This 460-nucleotide ribosomal RNA is filed under the name uncultured bacterium. Its description in RNAcentral is "partial 16S ribosomal RNA". It matches the Rfam family "Bacterial small subunit ribosomal RNA", at positions 338 to 795 of the family's 1533-position model. The record is from RNAcentral.